UACGGAGGGGGCGAGCGUUAUUCGGAAUUAUUGGGCGUAAAGGGCGCGUAGGCGGUCCGACAAGUCAAAGGUGAAAUCCCUCGGCUCAACUGAGGAACUGCCUUUGAAACUGUUGGACUUGAGUCCGGGAGAGGGUAGUGGAAUUCCCAAUGUAGCGGUGAAAUGCUUAGAUAUUGGGAGGAACACCAGUGGCGAAGGCGGCUACCUGGACCGGAACUGACGCUGAUGCGCGAAAGCGUGGGUAGCAAACAGG
Molecule: ribosomal RNA, 253 nt
Filed under: uncultured bacterium
Lineage: Bacteria
Description: partial 16S ribosomal RNA
Rfam family: Bacterial small subunit ribosomal RNA
Source: RNAcentral